RNAcentral lists this long non-coding RNA (570 nucleotides) under Anser brachyrhynchus (Pink-footed goose). Its description in RNAcentral is "lncRNA (ENSABRG00000014602.1)". Lineage: Eukaryota; Metazoa; Chordata; Aves; Anseriformes; Anatidae. The record is from RNAcentral.
CAGUUGGUAUUAACGGAUAUGUCCUGUUUGCAGCUGGAAGUGGGCAGCUCGCUGAGUGCGUUUCUCCACCCUGCAUCGAGGGGUUUGUUGACCUUGUGACCUGCCCAUGGCAUGUUGAAGACUGACCGAGGUGCAAAUGGAAGCAUAGGCUGGGUUUGGUGUUUUGUUUGGAGGCCUUGUGAGGGUACAAGGACUGUGUGGCUUUGCAUCACAGACACAUAUCAUUUUUCAGAAGUGCUGCUGCAUUGCGAAUAGGAGGGUCUCCUUAUGAGCCAAAGAAAAUAAGAUUCAGCAAAUAAGCCUCUCCGGAACAAGAAAGGCAUCCUGAAUGGUUGUCUAUAUGUUGAACUGCUGCAGUGUCAUCUGCCACUCUGAUACUGGUCAGUAGCAAUCAAGGUACAUCUUGCCUCACAAAAGAGGAAAAAUGUCCAUUGUCACUGCCUUUAUCCUGGUGCCUUAAUGACAUAUGAGCUGACUAAAUUUUCACCCAAAAUGAUGUGAAUUUCUUGUGAUGUUUUCUUGAGAUGGCUCUUAGCAUGUGCCAUUGAUCUCUGUGUCUUUAUACCCUGC